RNAcentral lists this long non-coding RNA (2345 nucleotides) under Helianthus annuus (common sunflower). RNAcentral's name for it is "hypothetical non coding rna". Lineage: Eukaryota; Viridiplantae; Streptophyta; Magnoliopsida; Asterales; Asteraceae. The record is from RNAcentral.
UUUUCUUUAACGUUGUUAAGUAUGAAAUUUCAAUCCUGUAAUUCAUCUGUUUGUAAGAAAUUGCAUAAUCUCCUUCCAUUAUGUGUAAAUGCUUGAUUUAUUUUUUUAGGCCCAUUCUAUACACACCCCCCUCCUUCCUGAUUACACCCCCCUUGUGAGAGGAAAACUGUCGGUCCCACGCAGGCCCCACCUGUAAGUAUGUGAGAGGAGGGGGGUGAAAAAAGUAAAUAGAGGGUGUAGAAAGUAGCACCCUUUUUUAAAGGAGUUAUGUAUGAACUCGGCCUUACAUCAGCUUACAUCUGCUGUAAAAACUGAUUAAUGAUAUUCCCUUUUACAGUGGCUGCCGUAAAUGGAAAAAAACUAGUUUUUUUUAGAAAAGUUGAUUUUUUGAGUUUUGGUAAGGUUUCUUUUUAUAAAAAUUUUUUGUAUGGCUGAAUUUUCUAAGUUUUAUAAAAAUUGUUUUUAUAAAAACAAUUACUGUAUGUACAAAUGGUGCGAUACUAACAAUAAGAGUUCUUACUAUAGCUGGAUAUAGGGAAGCCUCAUUUUUGACAUUAAUUACCAUAUUUAGUGAAUAAUUGUGAAAAAAAAAACCACUUACAAUCUAGAUUUAAUUUGGAUACAUCACUGACAACACCGACUGAAUAUUUAAUUAGACUCUUUAUGACAAAAUGUGAAAGACACGUAUUCGAAAAUUUAGUUCAUUAAAAAUCUCUAGAAAAACAAACGAUUUUACAAUCGAUGUUAAUAUUAAGUUGAUGGACGAAAGUCAAAUGUGUUAUAAACCUCACUAAAAACUCAACAAAAAAACGAUUAAAACUCUUGCAUCAAAGGCUAAUAAUUACAUUCAAGUUUUGUUAGCUUUAAGCAACUUUUAGGAUGAUUCAAAUGGCAUAAUCGGCUUUGUAUUAGUCAUUUCUGGUAUUUAUCCAUGAUAGGGAUAAGCUUUUGGUACUGAUUACUGAUAUCAAAUUUUCGGUACCGAAUUUUACAUUCAAUUACCGAUACCGUAUCGAAUGUAUUGGUGCCGUUCCUAGUUUUGACGAAUUUCGGUACCGGUGCUGGUUCGGAACGGUACUGGUACCACGAUCCCUAAUCUAUGAUUUACAUUUUGAAAUCUGUUAUUGGGAAAGAAGCCCAAACUCAACCCGUAACUCAGACAACAGGUUAAGACAAAUCAUACGUGAGACUUACAAUUUACUUUCGCAAGCAAAAAUACUUAUUUUCACGUUGGAUGAUGUUUACGAGAAAAACCUCUCAUUAUUGUAAUGAGACUUACCGUGUUUAGUUUUACAGAUUAAUCACCAUGAAAACUUGUUACGAUCAAAGCCUCAUUAUCCCGUUGAGCAUAGUCUAAACCAGUCAGUUAGAUUUGUGUUUCCUCAAUUAGUUAGAUUAGUGAACACAUUUUCAAGUCGAAACCUCGUAAGUUUUACAUGUAUUCCACUAUAGAGGGUCGUUCUUUUUGUUCUUUUGUGAUUGCCCUUUCAAAAAAAGAAAAAAAAAAGUAACAUUUAGGCCAGGAAACUAAAGAUUCAGAAAAAAAUAUUUGAGUUAUUUAUCUAAGUUAGCUUGUCAUCAAGUGCUACGUCAAGAAAAAAUCGACCAGUCAAAACUUGCUGACAUUCAAUUGUGACGUCUUUAUUUUGACUGGUUAGCGGAAUUUUUUGAUUUCGAUUUUUUUUUUCUGGCAAAAACAAAAACAAAGUUGGCUACCCAAAAUAGAAUUUGGACUAAAGUUUAUUCCUUUUUUUUUUAUUUUGUAAUUACUCCAUUAAAUAUCUCCGAACUCGAAGAGUCUUGUGCAUAAGCAGCAUACUUUACAAAAAUCAUAAGCAUAUAUGUAAUCAAAUUAACAUUAAUCUUAAUUUAUUGCAUAUAUGUAAUCAAGUUUCAACCUUUGUUUUUGGAUUGUAUUUAAACUGAACUUCUAGUGUUUCAGAUUGAUAUUUGUUUGAGCCGACUAGUCUUGACGCAAUAACAUGCAGAGCCGUACCCGAGAACUUUAAAAAAAUUUAUGCCUCGGGCGUCAAAAAAAAAUAAAAAAAAAGGGCCCAAAAUUUUGGUUAAGAGGAAAUGAAUUAAAAAAACAAAAGCUUGGUGGCGGAGCUAACAAUUGAACUUGAGACAUUUACAUUAUCUUAAGAUAGUUUUUUCCACUCCACCACCAACACUUUUAAAUAUAUAAUUUAGUAGAUAUAUAAAAGCUUUUAGAAACCUUUCAAGCCCUUUAAAAAUUUGGUUGACCCAAGAGCCGGCCUGAUAACAUGGCUGAACCAUGGUCAGGCCAUGCAUCGAACAUGCAUUGCCCGGUGAUUAUUUUAGAUUUGAAUAAUUAUAUUUAG